UUGUAGCUAACGCGUUAAGCACUCCGCCUGGGGACUACGGUCGCAAGACUAAAACUCAAAGGAAUUGACGGGGACCCGCACAAGCGGUGGAGCAUGUGGUUUAAUUCGAUGCAACGCGAAAAACCUUACCACUUCUUGACAUGGAGGCUAGAUCUUCCUUAACGGGAAGGCGCAGUUCGGCUGGGCCUCGCACAGGUGCUGCAUGGCUGUCGUCAGCUCGUGUCGUGAGAUGUUGGGUUAAGUCCCGCAACGAGCGUAACCCUCAUCCUUAGUUACCAGCGGGUAAUGCCGGGCACUUUAAGGAAACUGCCAGUGAUAAACUGGAGGAAGGUGGGGAUGAUGUCAAGUCAGCACGGCCCUUAUGGGGUGGGCUACACACGUGCUACAAUGGCGACUACAAUAGGUUGCAACGUCGCAAGGCUGAGCUAAUCCGUAAAAGUCGUCUCAGUUCGGAUUGUCCUCUGUAACUCGAGGGCAUGAAGUCGGAAUCGCUAGUAAUCGUGGAUCAGCAUG
RNAcentral lists this ribosomal RNA (513 nucleotides) under Anaplasma centrale. Its description in RNAcentral is "bacterial SSU rRNA". It matches the Rfam family "Bacterial small subunit ribosomal RNA", at positions 846 to 1356 of the family's 1533-position model. The record is from RNAcentral. Lineage: Bacteria; Pseudomonadati; Pseudomonadota; Alphaproteobacteria; Rickettsiales; Anaplasmataceae.